Oreochromis aureus is the source of this 394-nucleotide long non-coding RNA. The record is from Ensembl. NCBI's taxonomy places the organism in Eukaryota, Metazoa, Chordata, Actinopteri, Cichliformes, Cichlidae.
CUUGAUAUGGAGGAGAAAAAAAUAUUCACCAACCCAGAAAUCACUGCAGCGCUUGAGAACAUGAGACAAGCCAACCUUGAUGACAUGAUGCCUCUUCUACAAGUUGAAGCACCAGUCAGUGCACUGAUUGCAGUUGUGUACAGACCUCCAGACUACACUCUGAGGCCAUUCCUGAAAAACCUGUGCAAACAAACCAAUCCUGGAGCUGUUUGAGUCUAGGGGAUACGCACAGGUCAUCACUGCCCCUACCACAGAGAAGAACACACUGCUUGACCUAAUUUUCAUUUCUCAGCCAGAGCGAUGUCUCCAUUCUGGAGUCAUGAAGACCUACUAUAGUUACCAUGACCCUGUAUACUGUGUAUUGUCCUGUGAUGAUUCAUGAUCUAGAUCUUUG